AUUUCCUAAUGCUUUUCAGGUUUUCCACCUCCUCUUGUUCCUCUUCUGCAGUAAUGUCCUUAGGUUCAAAGUAGACCAGUUUAACCAAUGUUCCACCGAUAUCCAUUCCAAACCAUGGGAACGGUGGCCUGUGCCGCCGUCCCGAGUCCAUCCUGCGGCGCAGCCUGCAUUUCUUGGCCGGGGAGCCGUGCCCGAGCGGCGGCGGCUCCGGGCGGAGCAGCAGCGGGUGCGGCGCCUCCCCGCAGCCGCCGUUGCUGAGCGUUGGGCCCGCGGGGUGGAAGCCGUUGUGCAGCAGCCCGCCGCGCAGCGAGCAGGAGGCGGCGGGCGGUGCCCCCGUGGCGGCCGCGGGCUGCGCGCGGAGCUGCUCCCCCAUGGCGGCGGCGUCUCUCUCCCCUUUGUCUCCCGGCUCAGCUCCGGCAGGGCGCGGCGGAGCCUCCGCUCACGCCGCCCGCAGCUCCGCGCGCCGGGGAUGCGGCGCCCGUCCGCCCGCUCCCCCCUCCCUUGCGGGGACGGCGCAG
Molecule: long non-coding RNA, 518 nt
Filed under: Gallus gallus (chicken)
Lineage: Eukaryota; Metazoa; Chordata; Aves; Galliformes; Phasianidae
Source: RNAcentral